Long non-coding RNA from Chelonia mydas (Green sea turtle), 155 nucleotides. RefSeq lists it as uncharacterized. Lineage: Eukaryota; Metazoa; Chordata; Testudines; Cheloniidae. The record is from RefSeq and is a predicted model, not a curated record. The transcript has 3 exons.
AGCAGUGGACAAAGCAGGCAGCUGCCAAAUUAAGUUAUAAGGGAGUAUUGUGCAACUUGAAACAAGCAUGUUCCCUAAUUGAUCAGCGACAUAACAAUGAAACAACAUUAACCGGGAUGACAUAAAGUGAGGAGUUACUGAAUUAGGAAGAAAAU